This 26-nucleotide non-coding RNA is filed under the name Mus musculus (house mouse). Lineage: Eukaryota; Metazoa; Chordata; Mammalia; Rodentia; Muridae. The record is from RNAcentral.
AAAAAGUCAUCGCUGUCAAGGGUAAC